This 497-nucleotide ribosomal RNA is filed under the name uncultured bacterium. RNAcentral's name for it is "partial 16S ribosomal RNA". It matches the Rfam family "Bacterial small subunit ribosomal RNA", at positions 28 to 507 of the family's 1533-position model. The record is from RNAcentral.
GACGAACGCUGGCGGCGUGCCUAAUACAUGCAAGUAGAACGCUGAAGAGAGGAGCUUGCUCUUCUUGGAUGAGUUGCGAACGGGUGAGUAACGCGUAGGUAACCUGCCUGGUAGCGGGGGAUAACUAUUGGAAACGAUAGCUAAUACCGCAUAAAAUGGAUUAUCGCAUGAUAAUCCAUUGAAAGGUGCAAAUGCAUCACUACCAGAUGGACCUGCGUUGUAUUAGCUAGUUGGUGGGGUAACGGCUCACCAAGGCGACGAUACAUAGCCGACCUGAGAGGGUGAUCGGCCACACUGGGACUGAGACACGGCCCAGACUCCUACGGGAGGCAGCAGUAGGGAAUCUUCGGCAAUGGACGGAAGUCUGACCGAGCAACGCCGCGUGAGUGAAGAAGGUUUUCGGAUCGUAAAGCUCGGUUGUAAGAGAAGAACGAGUGUGAGAGUGGAAAGUUCACACUGUGACGGUAUCUUACCAGAAAGGGACGGCUAACUACGUG